RNAcentral lists this ribosomal RNA (375 nucleotides) under uncultured bacterium. RNAcentral describes it as "bacterial SSU rRNA". It matches the Rfam family "Bacterial small subunit ribosomal RNA", at positions 525 to 896 of the family's 1533-position model. The record is from RNAcentral.
ACGAAGGGUGCGAGCGUUAUUCGGAUUUAUUGGGCGUAAAGGGUGUGUAGGUGGUAAUCUAAGUCAGCUGUUAAAGACCCCGGCCUAACCGGGGACAUGCGGCAGAUACUGGUUUACUAGAGGAAGGAAGAGAGAAGUGGAAUUCUCGGAGUAGCGGUAAAAUGCGUGGAUCUCGAGAGGAACACCAAUGGCGAAGGCAGCUUCUUGGUCCUUUUCUGACACUGAAACACGAAAGCGUGGGGAGCAAACAGGAUUAGAUACCCUGGUAGUCCACGCUGUAAACGAUGAUCACUAGACGUCAGACCUGUUUUUACAGGAUUGGUGUCGUAGCUAACGCGUUAAGUGAUCCGCCUGGGGACUACGGUCGCAAGAUUA